Molecule: non-coding RNA, 103 nt
Organism: Paramuricea clavata
Lineage: Eukaryota; Metazoa; Cnidaria; Anthozoa; Malacalcyonacea; Plexauridae
Source: the annotation of a GenBank genome assembly
GAUUCCCCCCUUAUUACGUUUUCGUAGCGCUUUGCAUUGUAGUUAUAGUGGUAUCCACAAUGCAAAGCGUUACGAAAACGUAAUAGGGGGGAUCGCUAAUUGG